Molecule: ribosomal RNA, 243 nt
Filed under: uncultured Actinomycetales bacterium
Lineage: Bacteria; Bacillati; Actinomycetota; Actinomycetes; Actinomycetales
Description: partial 16S ribosomal RNA
Rfam family: Bacterial small subunit ribosomal RNA
Source: RNAcentral
UACUCGAGUGGCGAACGGGUGAGUAACACGUGGGUGAUCUGCCCUGCACUUCGGGAUAAGCUUGGGAAACUGGGCCUAAUACCGGAUAGGAGCCAUCUUUAGUGUGGUGGUUGGAAAGUUUUUUCGGUGUAGGAUGAGCUCGCGGCCUAUCAGCUUGUUGGUGGGGUAAUGGCCUACCAAGGCGGCGACGGGUAGCCGGCCUGAGAGGGUGUACGGCCACAUUGGGACUGAGAUACGGCCCAG